This 422-nucleotide long non-coding RNA is filed under the name Glycine max (soybean). Its description in RNAcentral is "long non-coding RNA (GMAX_LNC004228)". The record is from RNAcentral. Lineage: Eukaryota; Viridiplantae; Streptophyta; Magnoliopsida; Fabales; Fabaceae.
AAAAAAAAGCAUUCCUAUCCCAUAGCUUGCCGUAGAUAAUUAUGACACCACAAUAGUAACAAUUUUCUCUCUCUCACUUCAAAUCUCCUUCUCUUUUCGCUUACUCCCCCUUCCUUCUUCGCGAUCCAUCACUGCCAAAUCUCCCCAAGAUUUCGAUUCCACACUGUUUCGGUGAUCGAUUUUCUCCAUAACCCUCGAUCCACAUAGGUCAUCUAUAAAAAUCCAAAACCCUAGUUUUUUCUUUUCCUUAAUUUCAUGGUGGAGUUUUAGAUUAGGCACAAACCCUUCAAUGAUUAUGGUCCCUUUCGUUUUCCCUCGGAGCAAAAUUUCAUGGGUGUUCCUAAAGUUUUUGAAUUGAAUCUCUUUUCCCUGCGAUAAUGUGUUCUGAGUUUGGGGCGAUGAAGUGUAAUAUCUAUCUCGCG